Molecule: ribosomal RNA, 253 nt
Filed under: uncultured bacterium
Lineage: Bacteria
Description: partial 16S ribosomal RNA
Rfam family: Bacterial small subunit ribosomal RNA
Source: RNAcentral
UACGUAGGGUGCAAGCGUUGUCCGGAAUUACUGGGCGUAAAGCGUGCGUAGGUGGUUUGUUAAGUCUGUUGUGAAAGCCCCGGGCUCAACCUGGGAAUGGCAAUGGAUACUGGCAAGCUGGAGUGCGGUAGAGGGUAGUGGAAUUCCCGGUGUAGCGGUGAAAUGCGUAGAGAUCGGGAGGAACACCAGUGGCGAAGGCGGCUACCUGGACCAGCACUGACACUGAGGCACGAAAGCGUGGGGAGCAAACAGG